RNAcentral lists this long non-coding RNA (209 nucleotides) under Solanum tuberosum (potato). RNAcentral's name for it is "long non-coding RNA (STUB_LNC005922)". The record is from RNAcentral. Lineage: Eukaryota; Viridiplantae; Streptophyta; Magnoliopsida; Solanales; Solanaceae.
GUAGGUUCAAUAGGAGGAUACUUUUGUGUAUUUUGAUUUGUGUUGUUGCUAUGUUCAUCAGCAACCAGUAGUUCAAGUGCUGCAUAUUUGGAUUUCUCUUUGAUUUGUAUUGUUGUUAUGUUUAAUUAAAAUUGUCAAUGUAUGUGUGUCAUUUUGUAUCUAUGAUGUCAAUUGAAGCUUGUAUUAAUAUGCAACACUUCAUCAACAAC